CUCCGUGAUCUUUCAAAAAUUAUAUUAUAGCAUUGUAACGAGAUGGAUAGAGACUGUAUUCAAGUUAUAGAUAAUGCGCUGCAGGAGUCAGAUGAUGUGGAGAGUCCAAAUGAGGACCUGGAUU
This is a long non-coding RNA of Juglans regia (Persian walnut), 124 nucleotides long. RefSeq lists it as uncharacterized. NCBI's taxonomy places the organism in Eukaryota, Viridiplantae, Streptophyta, Magnoliopsida, Fagales, Juglandaceae. The record is from RefSeq and is a predicted model, not a curated record. The transcript is spliced from 3 exons.